GCGGAAGGAUCAUUACAGAGUUCAUGCCCGAAAGGGUAGACCUCCCACCCUUGUGUAUUAUUACUUUGUUGCUUUGGCGAGCUGCCUUCGGGCCUUGUAUGCUCGCCAGAGAAUACCAAAACUCUUUUUAUUAAUGUCGUCUGAGUACUAUAUAAUAGUUAAAACUUUCAACAACGGAUCUCUUGGUUCUGGCA
This 194-nucleotide unclassified non-coding RNA is filed under the name uncultured fungus. Its description in RNAcentral is "partial contains 18S rRNA, ITS1, 5.8S rRNA". The record is from RNAcentral. Lineage: Eukaryota; Fungi.